This is a long non-coding RNA of Hippocampus zosterae (dwarf seahorse), 376 nucleotides long. RefSeq lists it as uncharacterized. Lineage: Eukaryota; Metazoa; Chordata; Actinopteri; Syngnathiformes; Syngnathidae. The record is from RefSeq and is a predicted model, not a curated record. The transcript is spliced from 2 exons.
CCGCACGCCAGGUAGCGUCCGUCGGCGGACGCGGCGAUUGCCGUGCUGGCGACACAGCCGUGAUCCACGAACCUGCAGGCGCAGCGACUGCUACGCACGUCCCACACGUACACCUCGCCGUCCUCUGUGUUAGCAAACACUUUGCUGCCGUCGCCGUUCAUAGCCACGCCCACCACCUCGCCGUUCAGCUUCAUGCUGCUCACCACCUCCUUGGUCUGGGUGCGCACAUUGGACUCGUCAACUUUUAGCCGCUACCUCACAUGAAUUGUCAAAGUGCGACCAGCGCAUACCUUGAGCGUGACCAUGUGCAGAUAUCCUCGAGUUCCUGUCAGCAGCAGAGCGUCCCCCGCAGGGCUCACGCAGAAGUCCUUCACCC